CAGCAGCCGCGGUAAUACGUAGGGUGCAAGCGUUGUCCGGAAUUAUUGGGCGUAAAGAGCUCGUAGGCGGCUUGUCGCGUCGGCUGUGAAAACCUGGGGCUCAACCCCGGGCCUGCAGCCGAUACGGGCAAGCUAGAAUUCGGUAGGGGAGACUGGAAUUCCUGGUGUAGCGGUGAAAUGCGCAGAUAUCAGGAGGAACACCGGUGGCGAAGGCGGGUCUCUGGGCCGAUAUUGACGCUGAGGAGCGAAAGCGUGGGGAGCGAACAGGAUUAGAUACCCUGGUAGUCCACGCCGUAAACGU
This 301-nucleotide ribosomal RNA is filed under the name uncultured bacterium. RNAcentral describes it as "bacterial SSU rRNA". It matches the Rfam family "Bacterial small subunit ribosomal RNA", at positions 509 to 809 of the family's 1533-position model. The record is from RNAcentral.